UGAGAGGGCGACCGGCCACACUGGGACUGAGACACGGCCCAUACUCCUACGGGAGGCAGCAGUGGGGAAUAUUGGGCAAUGGAGGAAACUCUGACCCAGCGACGCCGCGUGCGGGAUGAAGGCCUUCGGGUUGUAAACCGCUUUCAGCAGGGAAGAAGCGAAAGUGACGGUACCUGCAGAAGAAGCACCGGCUAACUAUGUGCCAGCAGCCGCGGUAAUACAUAGGGUGCAAGCGUUGUCCGGAAUUAUUGGGCGUAAAGAGCUCGUAGGUGGUUCGUUACGUCGGAUGUGAAAAUCAGGGGCUCAACCCCUGACCUGCAUUCGAUACGGGCAAGCUAGAGUUUGGUAGGGGAGA
RNAcentral lists this ribosomal RNA (355 nucleotides) under uncultured bacterium. Its description in RNAcentral is "bacterial SSU rRNA". It matches the Rfam family "Bacterial small subunit ribosomal RNA", at positions 293 to 660 of the family's 1533-position model. The record is from RNAcentral.